AGAACUGAGGAGCAGCAGGGACGAGCGCGGCUGCAGCGAUUGACGCCGUGAAGGCGUACAGCAGGGACGAGCGCAUCCUCGACGCUACAGCGAUUGACGCCGUGAAGGCAUACGCCGGCGUGGACUAGCAAGGCUGCUGCGCAUCAGAUGGCGUUGAGGAAUGAUUUGAGCUCCUCCACAUUGGGUCCGAGGAAUAUUGAAGAUCUCAGGAGCUUGCACGUAUGUCAGAUUUGAGAUGGAAAGAAGCCCUCAGAGUACAUUAAUUCA
Molecule: long non-coding RNA, 267 nt
Organism: Lolium rigidum
Lineage: Eukaryota; Viridiplantae; Streptophyta; Magnoliopsida; Poales; Poaceae
Exons: 2
Source: RefSeq, a predicted model, not a curated record